This 235-nucleotide ribosomal RNA is filed under the name uncultured bacterium. RNAcentral's name for it is "partial 16S ribosomal RNA". It matches the Rfam family "Bacterial small subunit ribosomal RNA", at positions 99 to 334 of the family's 1533-position model. The record is from RNAcentral.
CGGACGGGUGAGUAACGCGUGGAUAACCUGCCUCACACUGGGGGAUAACAGUUAGAAAUGGCUGCUAAUACCGCAUAAGCGCACAGUACCGCAUGGUACGGUGUGAAAAACCCAGGUGGUGUGAGAUGGAUCCGCGUCUGAUUAGCCAGUUGGCGGGGUAACGGCCUACCAAGGCGACGAUCAGUAGCCGACCUGAGAGGGUGACCGGCCACAUUGGGACUGAGACACGGCCCAA